GGAAUAUUGGUCAAUGGACGAGAGUCUGAACCAGCCAAGUAGCGUGCAGGAUGACGGCCCUAUGGGUUGUAAACUGCUUUUAUGCGGGGAUAAAGUCGGCUACGCGUAGCCGUUUGCAGGUACCGCAUGAAUAAGGACCGGCUAAUUCCGUGCCAGCAGCCGCGGUAAUACGGAAGGUCCGGGCGUUAUCCGGAUUUAUUGGGUUUAAAGGGAGCGCAGGCCGGAGGUCAAGCGUGACGUGAAAUGUAGCCGCUCAACGGCUGAACUGCGUCGCGAACUGUCAGUCUUGAGUGAGUUCGAUGUUGGCGGAAUUCGUGGUGUAGCGGUGAAAUGCUUAGAUAUCACGAAGAACUCCGAUUGCGAAGGCAGCUGACGAGUCCUUAACUGACGCUAAAGCUCGAAAGUGCGGGUAUCGAACA
This 419-nucleotide ribosomal RNA is filed under the name uncultured Prevotella sp. RNAcentral describes it as "bacterial SSU rRNA". It matches the Rfam family "Bacterial small subunit ribosomal RNA", at positions 358 to 774 of the family's 1533-position model. Lineage: Bacteria; Pseudomonadati; Bacteroidota; Bacteroidia; Bacteroidales; Prevotellaceae. The record is from RNAcentral.